GACUAAAUAUUAAUAAAUGAACUGAUCGUAGUUUUUUUCUGUUAUUAUUUUCUUAAACUAUACUCUGUUUCGUAUGUAUGUUGUAUGUAAAAUAUCGUUUAUCUCUUUCUAACAAUGUUGGUCUCACGGUAGUAUAGGAAUGUGUGAGGGGCGAAGUCCAUUUAUUAAUAUUAUGUAUUUAUGUCUAUGUCAUACUAAUGGACAGCGCAUUCUACUCCGCCCUACCCACAAUGCACGAGAAUCAUAUAAGAGAAAGAAAGAAGAAAUAACGAAGAGAAAGAACAUAAAGUGGGAUAAUCAUAAACCUAUGAAACUAAAUCGUGGACAGUUGUGUGCAUAGGCCAAAAUAUGGUUCAACGUCCUUACUCAAUACUCAGGUAAAAAAAAUAGUCUGCCAGCAGAAUUGAUGUAACCGGCAUAUGGAUUGAAAUCCCAUGCCGUCUUAUCAUAGCUCAAUGGGCAACUAUACUAUCAAAAAUUGUGGUGUCUACCCAACUUCUAUAUCACAUAUUUUGUAUUGCUCUUGUUCAAAUUGUAAUUUAAUAUUUGCUACUGUAUAUACUGCCAAUUGAAUAUGAAUUGAAUUGUAAAGAAUAUAGAUGUAUAAUUUA
This is a long non-coding RNA of Acyrthosiphon pisum (pea aphid), 611 nucleotides long. RefSeq lists it as uncharacterized. The record is from RefSeq and is a predicted model, not a curated record. Lineage: Eukaryota; Metazoa; Arthropoda; Insecta; Hemiptera; Aphididae. The transcript has 2 exons.